UACGUAGGGGGCAAGCGUUGUCCGGAUUUAUUGGGCGUAAAGCGCUCGCAGGUGGUUCGUUGCGUCGUGCGUGAAAGACCCUGGCUCAACUGGGGAGUGUCGUGCGAUACGGGCGGACUGGAGGCCAGUAGGGGGAUGCGGAAUUCCGGGUGUAGUGGUGGAAUGCGUAGAGAUCCGGAGGAACACCGAAGGCGAAGGCAGUGUCCUGGCGAGUACCCUGACGCUGAGGUGCGAAAGCCAGGGGAGCGAACGGG
This 254-nucleotide ribosomal RNA is filed under the name uncultured prokaryote. RNAcentral describes it as "partial 16S ribosomal RNA". It matches the Rfam family "Bacterial small subunit ribosomal RNA", at positions 524 to 776 of the family's 1533-position model. The record is from RNAcentral.